AUGCAGAGCAACGGCGAAAUUGCGCCACCUGGCACCGUCGCAUCGUCUGUUCUUCCACCGCCGAUGGCGGAGCCCGCCCUCUUUGAGAGGGCUCGGACAUGGCAGAAGCUCGAAUCGAAGCGGUACGGCACUAAGCGAAAGUUCGGCUUUGUCGAGGCGGAGAAGGAGGACAUGCCUGCGGAACACGCGAGGAAGGUGCUUAGAGAUCACGGGGACAUGUCGUCCAAGAGAUUUAAACAUGAUAAGCGAGUGUACUUGGGAGCGCUUAAGUUUGUUCCUCAUGCUGUCUACAAGCUGCUCGAGAAUAUGCCAAUGCCAUGGGAGCAGACCAGUGAAGUUAAGGUUUUGUACCAUGUAAGUGGAGCAAUAACUUUCGUGAACGAAGUGCCGUUGGUUGUCGAGCCGAUAUAUUUGGCUCAGUGGGGGACAAUGUGGAUUAUGAUGAGGAGGGAGAAGAGGGAUCGUCGGCAAUUCAAGAGAAUGCGGUUUCCACCAUUCGAUGACGAGGAGCCUCCGUUAGACUAUGCUGAUAAUCUGUUGGAAAUUGUUGAUCUGCCGGAGCCAAUUCAACUGGAGUUGGAUGAAGAAGAAGACUCUGCUGUGUGUUCUUGGUUUUAUGACCAUAAGCCUCUGGUGAAGACAAAGCUCAUCAACGGUCCAAGUUAUCGCAGGUGGUAUCUCUCGCUUCCGAUUAUGGAAACGCUUCACCGGUUUGCAGGGCAGGUACUUUCCGAUUUGGUUGACCGCAAUUAUUUUUACUUGUUUGAUAGGGAGUCUUUUUUAACUGCCAAAGCUCUUAAUAUGUGUAUACCAGGUGGACCCAAGUUUGAACCUUUGUAUAGGGGCAUGGAGAAAGGGGAUGAGGACUGGAAUGAGUUUAAUGACAUAAACAAACUCAUUAUCCGGUCGCCUCUCCGAACUGAGUACAGAAUCGCAUUCCCUCAUCUCUACAACAAUAGACCUAGGAAGGUAAAGCUUUCUGUUUAUCGUACUCCCAUGGUUAUGUACAUAAAAACUGAGGAUCCUGAUAUACCUGUGUUUUGUUAUGAUCCACUGAUACACCCAAUACUGAGCACUAACACAAAGAAAACUUAUGAUGAUGAUGAGGAGGAGGAAGAUGAUGGUUUUGUUUUGCCGAAAGGGUUGGAACCGUUUUUGAAUGAUACUCAGCUUUAUACUGACACCACAGCUGCAGGAAUUUCCUUGCUGUUUGCCCCACGCCCUUUCAACAUGAGAUCUGGUCGGACGAGACGGGCAGAGGAUAUACCUCUUGUGUCUGAAUGGUAUAAAGAGCAUUGCCCUCCCUCGUAUCCAGUUAAAGUUCGGGUCAGCUAUCAGAAAUUGUUGAAAAGUUUUGUGUUGAAUGAGCUGCAUCAUAGACCACCCAAGGCUCAUAAGAAGACGCAUCUGUUUAGAUCUCUUAAAGCUACCAAAUUUUUCCAAACUACAGAACUUGAUUGGGUUGAAGCGGGUCUUCAAGUCUGUAAGCAGGGAUAUAACAUGCUAAAUCUAUUGAUCCAUAGGAAGAAUUUGAAUUACCUUCACCUUGAUUAUAAUUUUAAUCUGAAGCCUGUGAAAACCUUGACAACAAAAGAGCGUAAGAAAUCUCGGUUUGGUAAUGCUUUUCAUCUCUGUCGUGAAAUCUUGCGGUUGACAAAGCUUGUAGUUGAUGCCCAUGUCCAGUUCCGUUUGGGUAAUGUUGAUGCCUUCCAAUUGGCUGACGGCCUGCAGUACAUAUUUUCCCAUGUUGGUCAGUUGACUGGCAUGUACCGUUACAAGUACAGGUUGAUGCGGCAGAUUAGAAUGUCCAAAGAUUUGAAGCACUUGAUUUACUACCGGUUCAAUACUGGGCCAGUAGGGAGAGGACCCGGAUGUGGCUUCUGGGCACCAAUGUGGAGGGUGUGGUUGUUCUUCCUUCGUGGCAUAGUACCUCUUCUGGAAAGGUGGUUGGGAAAUUUACUUGCCCGACAAUUUGAAGGGCGCCAUUCAAAAGGAGUGGCAAAGACUGUAACUAAGCAGCGUGUCGAAAGCCAUUUUGACUUGGAGCUUCGAGCUGCUGUCAUGCAUGAUGUUCUUGAUGCCAUGCCAGAGGGCAUCAAGCAAAAUAAGGCCAAGGCUAUAUUGCAGCAUCUCAGUGAGGCAUGGCGUUGUUGGAAGGCAAAUAUUCCUUGGAAGGUUCCUGGUUUGCCAGUUCCCAUAGAGAAUAUGAUUCUUCGUUAUGUCAAGUCAAAGGCCGAUUGGUGGACAAAUGUUGCUCAUUAUAAUCGUGAACGUAUAAGAAGAGGUGCUACAGUGGAUAAGACAGUUUGUCUGAAAAAUCUUGGGAGAUUGACUCGCCUUUGGCUAAAGGCAGAGCAGGAACGACAACACAAUUAUCUGAAAGAUGGUCCAUAUAUUACACCAGAAGAGGGAGUUGCAAUGUACACGACAACUGCACAUUGGUUGGAGUCAAGAAAGUUCAUCCACAUUAAGUUCCCCCCUUUGUCAUACAAGCAUGAUACAAAGCUACUUAUCCUUGCUCUCGAGAGGUUGAAGGAAUCUUACGCUGUGGCUGUAAGAUUGAACCAGCAUCAAAGAGAGGAACUGGGUCUCAUUGAACAAGCCUAUGAUAACCCACAUGAAGCUUUGUCACGAAUAAAGCGCCACUUGCUCAGUCAGCGUUCCUUCAAAGAAGUUGGCAUACAGUUCAUGGAUUUGUACAGCGUUCUCAUACCAGUUUAUGAGAUUGAUCCUCUUGAGAAGAUUACAGAUGCAUAUCUUGAUCAAUAUUUAUGGUAUGAGGCUGACAAAAGGCAUCUCUUCCCAAACUGGAUCAAGCCUGCAGAUUCAGAGCCACCCCCACUCUUGGUUUAUAAAUGGUGUCAGGGAAUAAACAAUUUACAGAGUAUAUGGGACACAAGUGAGGGGCAGUGUGUGGUGAUGCUUCAGACUAAGUUUGAGAAGUUCUUUGAAAAGAUUGACUUGACAAUGCUAAAUCGGCUUCUAGGUCUGAUUCUUGACAGGUAUCUUGCUGAUUAUAUCACUGCGAAAAACAAUGUGUUAUUGUGUUACAAAGAUAUGAAUCAUACAAAUUCUUAUGGUCUUAUACGUGGUCUUCAGUUUGCAUCAUUUGUGGUGCAAUAUUACGGGCUUGUUGUGGAUCUGUUACUUCUUGGAUUGACUCGUGCCAGUGAGAUUGCGGGUCCACAGCAGAUGCCAAAUGAGUUCACUACUUAUCAGAACACAAAGGUUGAGACUCGGCAUCCUAUCAGGCUGUACUCUCGAUAUAUAGACAGGGUGGAUAUGCUGUUCUGCUUCACUCACGAGGAGGCUAGAGACCUUAUCCAGAGAUAUCUGACUGAGCAUCCAGAUCCCAAUAAUGAAAAUAUGGUUGGAUAUAAUAAUAAGAAGUGCUGGCCAAGAGAUGCCAGAAUGAGGCUCAUGAAACAUGAUGUAAAUCUUGGGAGGAGCGUUUUCUGGGAUAUGAAGAACCGUCUUCCUCGAAGCGUCACAACUUUGGAGUGGGAAAACAGCUUUGUUUCUGUUUACAGCAAGGAUAAUCCAAAUUUGCUCUUCAGUUUGUGCGGGUUUGAAAUUAGGAUACUUCCCAAGAUAAGAAUGAGUCAGGAAGCAUUUAGCAGCACGAGAGAUGGAGUUUGGAAUUUGCAGAAUGAGCAGACAAAGGAGAGGACUGCAGUUGCUUUCUUACGAGUUGAUGAUGAACAGAUGAAGGUGUUUGAGAAUCGUGUGAGGCAGAUCCUUAUGUCCUCAGGGUCCACAACAUUCACAAAAGUAGUCAACAAAUGGAAUACAGCCCUUAUUGGUCUUAUGACUUACUUCCGUGAAGCAACUGUGCAUACACAAGAGCUGUUGGAUUUGCUGGUGAAAUGUGAAAAUAAAAUUCAGACUCGUAUUAAGAUUGGAUUGAAUUCGAAAAUGCCGAGCAGGUUUCCACCUGUCAUCUUUUACACGCCAAAAGAAAUUGGAGGUCUUGGCAUGUUAUCUAUGGGUCACAUACUGAUUCCACAAAGUGACCUCAGAUACAGUCAGCAGACAGAUUUUGGUGUGACGCACUUUAGGAGUGGAAUGAGUCAUGAUGAGGACCAGCUGAUUCCAAAUCUUUACCGUUACAUACAGCCAUGGGAGAGUGAAUUUAUAGAUUCACAGCGUGUUUGGGCAGAAUAUGCAAUGAAAAGGCAGGAAGCUCAGACACAAAAUCGGCGUCUAACCCUUGAAGAUUUGGAAGAUUCAUGGGAUAGGGGAGUACCUCGCAUAAAUACUUUGUUCCAGAAGGACCGUCACACUUUAGCUUAUGACAAAGGGUGGAGAGUUCGCACAGAGUUUAAGCAGUACCAGGUCUUGAAGCAGAAUCCGUUCUGGUGGACACACCAGAGGCAUGAUGGAAAAUUGUGGAACUUGAACAACUAUAGAACCGAUGUUAUCCAAGCUCUUGGAGGUGUUGAGGGAAUACUUGAGCACACCUUAUUCAAAGGAACAUACUUCCCUACUUGGGAGGGUCUUUUUUGGGAGAAGGCAUCUGGCUUUGAGGAAUCUAUGAAGUUUAAGAAGUUAACCAAUGCACAAAGAUCUGGGCUCAACCAAAUCCCCAAUCGUAGGUUCACCCUUUGGUGGUCGCCAACCAUAAAUCGGGCCAAUGUAUAUGUGGGUUUCCAAGUGCAGCUAGAUCUGACAGGAAUUUUUAUGCAUGGGAAGAUCCCAACCUUGAAGAUAUCAUUGAUUCAGAUAUUUCGAGCCCACUUGUGGCAGAAGAUUCAUGAAAGUGUUGUCAUGGAUCUCUGUCAGGCUUUGGAUCAGGAGCUGGAUGCUUUGGAAAUUGAAACUGUGCAGAAGGAAACUAUACAUCCGAGGAAAAGUUACAAAAUGAACAGCUCCUGUGCUGACAUUCUUCUCUUUGCUGCCCAUAGAUGGGCAAUGUCAAAACCUAGUCUUGUGGCUGAAACAAAGGAUGUGUUCGAUCAGAAAGCAAGCAAUAAGUACUGGAUAGAUGUACAACUCCGUUGGGGAGACUAUGAUUCUCAUGACAUUGAACGUUACACUCGAGCCAAGUUUAUGGAUUACACAACUGACAACAUGUCUAUUUAUCCUUCUCCCACAGGGGUGGUGAUUGGUAUUGAUUUGGCUUAUAACUUACAUUCUGCGUUUGGUAACUGGUUUGCUGGGUCAAAACCACUACUUCAACAGGCAAUGAACAAGAUCAUGAAGUCAAAUCCAGCUUUGUAUGUCUUGAGGGAGCGGAUAAGGAAAGGAUUGCAGUUGUAUUCAUCUGAGCCUACGGAACCCUAUUUAUCUUCCCAAAACUAUGGGGAGAUCUUCAGCAAUCAACUUAUUUGGUUUGUUGAUGACACUAAUGUGUAUCGUGUUACAAUCCAUAAAACAUAUGAAGGAAAUGUGACUACGAAACCCAUCAAUGGUGCUAUUUUCAUAUUCAAUCCAAGGACUGGGCAGCUAUUCUUGAAGGUCAUUCACACAAGUGUGUGGGCAGGGCAGAAGCGACGUGGUCAGUUGGCUAAGUGGAAAACCGCAGAAGAAGUUGCUGCGCUUGUGCGUUCUCUACCUGUUGAAGAACAGCCAAAGCAAAUUAUUGUCACUCGUAAGGGAAUGCUGGACCCGUUGGAGGUUCACUUACUGGAUUUCCCCAACAUAGUCAUAAAAGGAAGUGAACUGCAACUUCCUUUCCAGGCUUGCUUGAAGAAUGUGAAAUUUAAUGAUCCGGUAGUAAAGGCCACUGAGCCGCAGAUGGUUCUUUUCAACAUUUAUGAUGAUUGGUUGAAGAGUAUUUUAUCAUGCACUGCAUUCUCCCGGCUCAUUCUGAUCCUUCGCGCACUACAUGUGAACAGUGUUAAGGCGAAUAUGUUGUUGAAGCCUGACAGAACGGUAAUCACUGAGCCACACCACAUCUGGCCUUCUCUUUCUGAUGAUCAAUGGAUGAAGGUCGAGGUUGCUCUAAGAGAUGUCAUACUAUCAGAUUAUGCAACAAAGAACAAUGUGAAUACAUCGGCCCUGACACAGUCUGAGAUUCGUGAUAUCAUACUUGGAGCUGAGAUUACCCCACCUUCUCAACAGAGGCAACAGAUUGCAGAAAUUGAGAAACAGGCUAAAGAAGCAAGUCAGCUGACAGCAGUCGCGACAAGGACUACAAAUGUGCAUGGUGAUGAACUUAUUGUCACCACUACGAGUCCUUAUGAGCAAAAAGCAUCUGGGUCCAAAACUGAUUGGCGUGAGAGAGCAAAGUCUGCUGCAAAUCUGUUCUUGCGAGUCAAUCAUUUAUACGUGAAUUCGGAAGAGAUAAAGGAAACGGGUUACACUUAUAUUAUUCCGAAGAACAUCUUGAAAAAGUUUAUCGGCAUUGCAGAUCUGAGGACGCAAAUUGCUGGUUACUUAUACGGUGUAAGCCCUCCUGACAACCCUCAGGUCAAGGAAGUUUGCUGCAUUGUCAUGCCACCUCAGAAGGGAACCAGCCAGCAGGUUUAUCUCUCAUCAGUUCUUCCUAAGAAUGAUUUCCUCAAUGAUUUGGAGCCUUUGGGAUGGAUGCACACGCAGCCAAAUGAGCAUCCGCAGCUUUCUCAUCAUGAUGUCAUAUCUCAUGCGAAGAUGUUAGACAGCAACACGCAAUGGAAUUUGGAGAAGUGCAUCAUUUUAACCUGCAGUUUCACUCCAGGUUCCUGCUCGUUAACUGCAUAUAAACUCACUCCACCUGGUUAUAAAUGGGGACGUCAAGUCAAUAGACAAGGCAGCGAAGGUGAUAUAACUCCACAGGGAUACCUUCCAACUCAUUAUGAGAAGGUUCAGAUGCUUCUCAGCGACAAAUUUCUUGGUUUCUUCAUGAUACCAGAUAUUGGUUCAUGGAACUACAAUUUCAUGGGGACGAAGCUUACGUCUGGUAUGAAGUAUGACAUCAAGCUUGGGAUACCCAAGGAGUAUUAUGACCAGGACCACCGGCCCACCCAUUUCCUGCAGUUCAGCAACUUGGAGGAGGGUGACAGAGAAGUCGUUCGGGACGAUAACUUCGCAUAAAUAUUUUUUUUCUGGA
This is an RNA transcript of Prunus mume (Japanese apricot), 7030 nucleotides long. It is a transcript of the gene named pre-mRNA-processing-splicing factor 8A pseudogene, with no coding region annotated. The record is from RefSeq and is a predicted model, not a curated record. Lineage: Eukaryota; Viridiplantae; Streptophyta; Magnoliopsida; Rosales; Rosaceae.